GAUGAACGCUGGCGGCGUGCCUAAUACAUGCAAGUCGAGCGAACAGACGAGGAGCUUGCUCCUCUGACGUUAGCGGCGGACGGGUGAGUAACACGUGGAUAACCUACCUAUAAGACUGGUAAAACUUCGGGAAACCGGAUCUAAUACCGUAUAACAUGUUGAACCGUAUGGUUCAACAGUGAAAUACGGUCUUGCUGUCACUUAUAGAUGGUUCCGCGCCGCAUUAGCUGGUUGGUAGGGUAACGGCUUACCACGGCAACGAUGCGUAGCCGAACGGAGAGGGUGGUCGGCCACCUGGGAACGGGAACAGGCACAGGACGCCUACGGGAGGCACCAGUAGGGAACUUUCGGCAAGGGGGGAAAGCCUGACGGAGAAAGGCCGAGUGAGUGACAAAGAUCUCCGGUUCGUAAAACCCUGUUAUUAGGGAAGAACAAAUGUGUAAGGAAAUGUGCACGUCGUGACGGUACCUAAUCAGAAAGCCACGGCUAACUACGUG
This 497-nucleotide ribosomal RNA is filed under the name uncultured bacterium. RNAcentral's name for it is "partial 16S ribosomal RNA". It matches the Rfam family "Bacterial small subunit ribosomal RNA", at positions 28 to 507 of the family's 1533-position model. The record is from RNAcentral.